RNAcentral lists this ribosomal RNA (792 nucleotides) under uncultured Lactobacillus sp. RNAcentral describes it as "bacterial SSU rRNA". It matches the Rfam family "Bacterial small subunit ribosomal RNA", at positions 28 to 776 of the family's 1533-position model. The record is from RNAcentral. Lineage: Bacteria; Bacillati; Bacillota; Bacilli; Lactobacillales; Lactobacillaceae.
GAUGAACGCCGGCGGUGUGCCUAAUACAUGCAAGUCGAGCGCACUGGCCCAACUGAUAUGACGUGCUUGCACUGAAUUGACGUUGGAUUACCAGUGAGCGGCGGACGGGUGAGUAACACGUGGGCAACCUGCCCUGAAGUGGGGGAUAACAUCUGGAAACAGGUGCUAAUACCGCAUAACAACGAAGACCACAUGGUUUUCGUUUCAAAGAUGGUUUCGGCUAUCACUUCAGGAUGGGCCCGCGGUGCAUUAGCUAGUUGGUAAGGUAACGGCUUACCAAGGCAAUGAUGCAUAGCCGAGUUGAGAGACUGAUCGGCCACAAUGGAACUGAGACACGGUCCAUACUCCUACGGGAGGCAGCAGUAGGGAAUCUUCCACAAUGGGCGCAAGCCUGAUGGAGCAACACCGCGUGAGUGAAGAAGGGUUUCGGCUCGUAAAGCUCUGUUGUUGGAGAAGAACGUGCGUGAGAGUAACUGUUCACGCAGUGACGGUAUCCAACCAGAAAGUCACGGCUAACUACGUGCCAGCAGCCGCGGUAAUACGUAGGUGGCAAGCGUUAUCCGGAUUUAUUGGGCGUAAAGCGAGCGCAGGCGGUUGCUUAGGUCUGAUGUGAAAGCCUUCGGCUUAACCGAAGAAGGGCAUCGGAAACCGGGCGACUUGAGUGCAGAAGAGGACAGUGGAACUCCAUGUGUAGCGGUGGAAUGCGUAGAUAUAUGGAAGAACACCAGUGGCGAAGGCGGCUGUCUGGUCUGCAACUGACGCUGAGGCUCGAAAGCAUGGGUAGCGAACAGG